This 226-nucleotide non-coding RNA is filed under the name Helianthus annuus (common sunflower). The record is from RNAcentral. Lineage: Eukaryota; Viridiplantae; Streptophyta; Magnoliopsida; Asterales; Asteraceae.
GUGAGCCGCAUGCGGGGAGACCCGCACGUACGGUUUUUAGGGGGAUCUGGUCGAAGACCGGCCGGCGCCCACCCGAAUAGAGGGACCGAGAAAUUAAUAGAGUACAAAACUUAUCUUCAAGCUUUACCUCUUAACGGUUCCGAGAGCACUUGUGUAUGUGAUGCAAGGGAACGUGUACGAAAAAGCUGUCGUAAAGUUUCGUUGUUCUUUCCGUCGUCGACCCUAU